RNAcentral lists this ribosomal RNA (741 nucleotides) under uncultured bacterium. RNAcentral's name for it is "bacterial SSU rRNA". It matches the Rfam family "Bacterial small subunit ribosomal RNA", at positions 43 to 769 of the family's 1533-position model. The record is from RNAcentral.
CAUGCCUUACACAUUCAAGUCGACCGGGUAGCACGCGGUGCACCUCUUCGAUGUCGAGUGGCGGCGCGGGGUGAGUCAAUAUAUCGGAACGUGCCCUAGGAGUGGGGGAUAAUCUAGUCGAACAGACUAGCUAAUACCGCAUACGAUCUCCGGAUGAAAGUGGGGGAUCGCAAGACCUCAUGCUCAUGGAGCGGCCGAUAUCUGAUUAGCUAGUUGGUAGGGUAAAAGCCUACCAAGGCAUCGAUCAGUAGCUGGUCUGAGAGGACGCCCAUCCACACUGGAACUGAGACACGGCCCAGACUUCUACGGGAGGCAGCAGUGGGGAAUUUUGGACAAUGGGGGCAACCCUGAUCCAGCAAUGCCGCGUGAGUGAAGAAGGCCUUCGGGUUGUAAAGCUCUUUUGUCAGGGAAGAAACGGUCGUCUGUAAUACAUACCACUAAUCACGGUUCCUGAAGAAUAAACACCGGCUAACUACGUGCCAGCAUUCGCGGUAAUACGUAGGGUGCAAGCGUUAAUCGGAAUUCCUGGGCGUAAAGCGUGCGCAGGCGGUUAUGUAAGACAGGUGUGAAAUCCCCGGGCUUAACCUGGGAAUUGCAUUUGUGACUGCAUGGUUAGAGUGUGUCAGAGGGGGGUAGAAUUCCACGUGUAGCAGUGAAAUGCGUAGAGAUGUGGAGGAAUACCGAUGGUGAAGGCAGCCCCCUGGGAUAACACUGACUCUCAUGCGCGAAAGCGUGGGGAGC